This 116-nucleotide ribosomal RNA is filed under the name Candidatus Woesearchaeota archaeon. Lineage: Archaea; Nanobdellati; Candidatus Woesearchaeota. The record is from RNAcentral.
UUGGACGGCCAUAGGGGCCUGGUCCUACUGGUACUCAUUUCGAACACCAAAGUCAAGCAGGCUUCCGUUCCUGGGUGUACUGUUCUUCGAACGGGAAACCAGGAAAGCUGUCCGCC